GGAUCACCUGAGGUCGAGAGUUCCAGACCAGCCUGACCAACAUGAAGAAAUCCCGUCUCUACUAAAAAUACAAAAUUAGCCGGGCGUGAUGGCGCAUGCCUGUAAUCCCAGCUACUUGGAGGCUGAGGCAGGAGAAUUGCUUGAACCUGGGAAGCGGAGGUUGUGGUGAGCCGAGAUCAUGCCAUUGCACUCCAGCCUGGACAACAAGAGUGAAACUCCAUCUCAAAAAAAAAAAAAGAAAAGAAAAGAAAAGAAAGAAAACUCAGCUAGGAAUUAGAAACAUCAUUUGUCCUCUUGGCCUGUUCAGCUGGUGACUGUAGAUUUGAUGAAAAGGAAACUUGGGACUCCGGAGGACCAAGAUGGAGCGAGACGGUCAAUACUGAUGGACUUGCAGCUAGCACCAUGGCAGCCCUGCCUGGUCUAAGGAAGCUGGCAGGAGGCGAUGGUACCUGGCGGGGGCAGACUGCCCACCUCCCCACUCCUUCAGAGGACUGUUUCCUGCCCUUCACACCAUCAUCAUGUUGGGCCCUGCAUGUAUGUUCCUGCACUUGGAGCGAGCCCAGGGACACAGGGCAGACACUGGGCUCACAGAUGUUGCUGCAGCUGAGCCAGAAAACAUUCCAGGCAGGAAAAGCAGGUGCACACAUUCACACAGGCCUCUGGUCACUCGACCAGCCAGAAUGAGACGGACUCCUUGACCUGGGAAGUCAAGUCCCAGUGGGAAGGGCUGGAAAUCACACGUGGUCAACUUCUUGGCUCUCUCUGCUCCCCAAACCCUGGCCCUAGGCUUGCUUUAUCAUCACAUCCCAAGGCCAGAGGGCUGCUGCUGUCCCCAUCUUGGCCCUGCUAGAAGAGGGAUAGGGGUGGCUGGCAUGAUGGGUGAGGGGAACAUGAGAAUAUGCAGAGGCCUUGGAGGAAGAGGACUGGCAGUUAUGACAGGAAGGCUCUCUAUACCUGGCUCCCCAGUGUUCUGCCCCUGGCACUGAGCAUGAGGAGCCAGGCUUUGGGGAGACUUUGCAAUCACCCCCCCAACCUGGUCCAUUUUCCACAGGUAGCUUUCUUGAACUCACCUUGACCCCUCCUCAGCCAGCAGCCCCCACCUCCAGGGGCAAAGGAGCUGAAAGACAGUCCUGAACUGGGGGGAGCUGGGAUCACAUCAGCCAGGCCCUGUCCCUCACAGGAAGUGAGAUGAGGUGAUACCAUGGAUGGUGACUAAGGCCCCAAAGUCCCUGCCUCUCUGCCUCCCCAGAAACCUCACAGCCAGGCCAGCCCCCAGAGCAGAGCCUGUGUAAACAUGCCCAGGAGGGGAGGAGGGGUUGCUACAUAUGAGAAACAGUUAAAAAUAAAUUUAAAAAGCACCACUAUGUCCUGUGCUGGUCUCCACAGCCCCGAAGUCUCAGCUCAGGAAGGGUGAGUGCUGGGGGAUUAUCAGCUGGGGCUCGGCUCCCUCCCUUGCAGACAGCAAGCAGGUAAGGGCUUCAUUUUGCUGUUUUCUCCAUGGAGGGCUCUGGGAAAGGAUCCUGCAAGUUGGAACCUCCUAAGACUCCAGAACCAGGAGCGGCUCCCUCUCAUAUCUACUCCCCUCAAACCCUGUCAUUCCCGGGAAGCUCCCAGAGGCAGCUGAGGCCACGCCCCUGCUCCUGAGCGGCAGCAUCCAGACCCGGAAAGGACCUAGUUUCAGCCUGGCACCUCCCAAGGCACCAUCCGUCUCCCUGGCAGGCCAAGAGCUAC
RNAcentral lists this long non-coding RNA (1731 nucleotides) under Homo sapiens (human). RNAcentral's name for it is "non-protein coding VASH1-AS1:16". Lineage: Eukaryota; Metazoa; Chordata; Mammalia; Primates; Hominidae. The record is from RNAcentral.